UCCGGAGGAGGCAAGCGUUAUCCGGAAUUAUUGGGCGUAAAGCGUCCGUAGGUGGUUGGCCAAGUCUGCUGUCAAAGGGUGGGGCUUAACCUCAUAAAGGCAGUGGAAACUGGCGAGCUAGAGUGCGGUAGGGGUAGGGGGAAUUCCCAGUGUAGCGGUGAAAUGCGUAGAGAUUGGGAAGAACAUCGGUGGCGAAAGCGCCCUGCUGGGCCUGCACUGACACUGAGGGACGAAAGCUAGGGGAGAGAACAGG
This 253-nucleotide ribosomal RNA is filed under the name uncultured bacterium. RNAcentral's name for it is "partial 16S ribosomal RNA". It matches the Rfam family "Bacterial small subunit ribosomal RNA", at positions 524 to 776 of the family's 1533-position model. The record is from RNAcentral.